Molecule: long non-coding RNA, 443 nt
Filed under: Vitis vinifera (wine grape)
Lineage: Eukaryota; Viridiplantae; Streptophyta; Magnoliopsida; Vitales; Vitaceae
Description: long non-coding RNA (VVIN_LNC004429)
Source: RNAcentral
CCCAAAACACCCUUGCCCCGGCAAAAUCAAAAGAAUAAACACUAAGGCAUGAACUAGAGUGAAAAUUGAGGGUAGAACAAACAGGUGAGCAUGCAGCACAUGAAUGUACAUGAUCUCAUAUCAGGUGAUGUUCAUGGGCUCAAAACAGGUGGGAUAAGGGAGAAAAUUAAAUCAAUUCAUACCAAUCCAUGUACGUGAUAACCUCAAAUGAAAUCCAAGAGAAUGAGAUAUUAGCAGGGCAAACAUAUCCAAACAGAAAAUGAAACGAUCAAUGAACAUGUGAACAAGCCAGAAAUUAACAAAACUUAUAUAUGACUCCUGUUAUCCAUAAGACAAGCGGGACCCCAAGUAGCAAGAGAAGAAAAUGAAAGAUCAAUGAUAAUGAAGAUGAACAAGAGGUACACAGUAAACUUAUCUGAGAGUUCUUUCACAGUUCUUGCCUG